UCCGGGAUCGUCUAACGGUAGGACGUCCGCCUCUGGAGCGGAAAGUUGGGGUUCGAAUCCCUGUCCCGGAA
This 71-nucleotide transfer RNA is filed under the name Thermoleophilia bacterium. RNAcentral's name for it is "tRNA-Gln". It matches the Rfam family "tRNA". From Rfam's summary of the family: Transfer RNA (tRNA) molecules are approximately 80 nucleotides in length. Their secondary structure includes four short double-helical elements and three loops (D, anti-codon, and T loops). RNAcentral also lists the same sequence under 1 other name. The record is from RNAcentral. Lineage: Bacteria; Bacillati; Actinomycetota; Thermoleophilia.